AUUGAACGCUGGCGGCAGGCCUAACACAUGCAAGUCGAACGGUAACAGGAAGAAGCUUGCUUCUUUGCUGACGAGUGGCGGAUGGGUGAGUAAUGUCUGGGAAACUGCCUGAUGGAGGGGGAUAACUACUGAAAACGGUAGCUAAUACCGCAUAACGUCGCAAGACCAAAGAGGGGGACCUUCGGGCCUCUUGCCAUCGGAUGUGCCCAGAUGGGAUUAGCUAGUAGGUGGGGUAACGGCUCACCUAGGCGACGAUCCCUAGCUGGUCUGAGAGGAUGACCAGCCACACUGGAACUGAGACACGGUCCAGACUCCUACGGGAGGCAGCAGUGGGGAAUAUUGCACAAUGGGCGCAAGCCUGAUGCAGCCAUGCCGCGUGUAUGAAGAAGGCCUUCGGGUUGUAAAGUACUUUCAGCGGGGAGGAAGGGAGUAAAGUUAAUACCUUUGCUCAUUGACGUUACCCGCAGAAGAAGCACCGGCUAACUCCGUG
RNAcentral lists this ribosomal RNA (490 nucleotides) under uncultured bacterium. RNAcentral's name for it is "partial 16S ribosomal RNA". It matches the Rfam family "Bacterial small subunit ribosomal RNA", at positions 30 to 507 of the family's 1533-position model. The record is from RNAcentral.